GUGAAAGGUGAAUGAUGGCUGACAAUAAUAAAGAGGUCCACUGUCACCAACAUGUAGUGGUGAAGUUGUUCUCAGUUGACAGGAGAUACAGGAGUCCAUUCUGUUCCAAGUAGGUUACCUUGACUCUCCUCUAUGCACAGCACUCUGGAGACUUCCUGCAGUUGUUCUCAGGAGACAGGUCAGUGUGUGUGUGUGUGUGUGUAGAGAGAGAAUGCAUCAGGCUUCUAUUCUACUUCAUCACCCAGGACCACUACAUCAAUGAGGCAGAGGAAGCCAAGUUUGGACCAAUGAUGCUGAAGCCCCACUGUAAGAACCUGGAGAACUUCACUGGUUCUGAGGGAGCUGACGUGGCUACAAACAGUUUCUGGGACACCUUCCAGCGCUACUGCUGUCAAGACAUCUGUCUAGAGAACAGCCAGAGGGUGGUCAAGACAUCUGUCUAGAGAACAGCCAGAGGGUGGUCAAGACAUCUGUCUAGAGAACAGCCAGAGGGUGGUCAAGACAUCUGUCUGGAGAACAGCCAGAGGGUGGUCAAG
Molecule: long non-coding RNA, 536 nt
Organism: Oncorhynchus tshawytscha (Chinook salmon)
Lineage: Eukaryota; Metazoa; Chordata; Actinopteri; Salmoniformes; Salmonidae
Source: Ensembl